AACGCGAAGAACCUUACCCGGGCUCGAAAUGUAGAGAACGCUAGCAGAAAUGUUAGUUCCCGAAAGGGGCUCUAUAUAGGUGCUGCAUGGCUGUCGUCAGCUCGUGCCGUGAGGUGUUUGGUUAAGUCCAGCAACGAGCGCAACCCUUAUUGUCAGUUGCCAACGCGUAAUGGCGGGGACUCUGGCAAGACUGCCUAGGUUAACUAGGAGGAAGGUGAGGAUGACGUCAAGUCCGCAUGGCCUUUAUGUCCGGGGCUACACACGUGCUACAAUGGUCGGUACAGAAGGCAGCGAAGCCGCGAGGUGGAGCUAAUCCGUAAAGCCGAUCUCAGUUCAGAUUGCAGACUGCAACUCGUCUGCAUGAAGUUGGAAUUGCUAGUAAUGACGUGUCAGCAACAGCGUCGUGAAUACGUUCCCGGGCCUUGUA
This 427-nucleotide ribosomal RNA is filed under the name uncultured Chlamydiae bacterium. RNAcentral's name for it is "bacterial SSU rRNA". It matches the Rfam family "Bacterial small subunit ribosomal RNA", at positions 958 to 1385 of the family's 1533-position model. The record is from RNAcentral. Lineage: Bacteria; Pseudomonadati; Chlamydiota; Chlamydiia.